This 67-nucleotide transfer RNA is filed under the name Potamyia horvati. RNAcentral's name for it is "tRNA-Arg". The record is from RNAcentral. Lineage: Eukaryota; Metazoa; Arthropoda; Insecta; Trichoptera; Hydropsychidae.
AAAUAAGAAUUAAUACUUAAAUUAAAUUUAAUUUCGACUUAAUCAUAGGAUACUUUUCCCUUAUUUU